RNAcentral lists this ribosomal RNA (495 nucleotides) under uncultured bacterium. Its description in RNAcentral is "partial 16S ribosomal RNA". It matches the Rfam family "Bacterial small subunit ribosomal RNA", at positions 28 to 507 of the family's 1533-position model. The record is from RNAcentral.
GACGAACGCUGGCGGCGUGCCUAAUACAUGCAAGUCGAACGCUGAAGGAGGAGCUUGCUUCUCUGGAUGAGUUGCGAACGGGUGAGUAACGCGUAGGUAACCUGCCUGGUAGCGGGGGAUAACUAUUGGAAACGAUAGCUAAUACCGCAUAAGAGUAGAUGUUGCAUGACAUUUGCUUAAAAGGUGCAAUUGCAUCACUACCAGAUGGACCUGCGUUGUAUUAGCUAGGUGGUGGGGUAACGGCUCACCAAGGCGACGAUACAUAGCCGACCUCAGAGGGGGGUCGGCCACCCUGGGACCGGGACACGGCCCAGACUCCUACGGGAGGCAGCAGGAGGGAAUCUUUGGCAAUGGACCGAAGUCUGACCGGGGCACGCCGCGGUGGUUGAGAAGGGUUUCGGAUCGGAAAGCUCUGUUGUUAGAGAAGAACGAGUGUGGGAGUGGAAAGUUCACACUGUGACGGUAUCUUACCAGAAAGGGACGGCUAACUACGUG